GAGACCUGGGCUCUUGGCUUUCCCGCCACCUUUGUCUCUUUAGCAGGUGAUGGAAUGAGCUUGGCAAGACCCGUUCGGCCACCUCUUCUUUUGGACGGAGGGGAAGCAGCUGCUGUAACACUAGACCAGGUAAGGGGAAGGACCCCUGGGAAGAUGGGCAGGUGGCAGCGAUGGGGCCUCUUAUCUCCUGUGCGCCUCCUUCAGCUUCAACAAAUCCCUCUCCUUCUCUUUGCUUCUGUCUGAGCUACAUGCAAGGAAGGCCGUGUAUGCCAGGCAGAUUUGAAGCACCUUUCCUUUCCGAGUCUUCUGGAUUUUGCUUGUCGAUGACCUUCAUGUUAAACUUCCAUACUUCCUUCCUUCCUUUUAAAAAAAUAAAAUAAAAAUUAUUCAUUUUUAUUCAUUAUAACAUUAUAACUUUUGAAUUAUGGUGCUGGAGGAGACUCUUGAGAG
Molecule: long non-coding RNA, 450 nt
Filed under: Podarcis lilfordi (Lilford's wall lizard)
Lineage: Eukaryota; Metazoa; Chordata; Lepidosauria; Squamata; Lacertidae
Source: RNAcentral